AGCUCCAAUAGCGUAUAUUAAAGUUGUUGCAGUUAAAACGCUCGUAGUCGGAUUUCGGGGCGGGCGGGCCGGUCUGCCGAUGGGUAUGCACUGGUUUGCGCGUCCUUCCUUCCGGAGACCAUGCCUACUCUUCACUGAGCGGGUAUGGGAGACGGAAUUUUUACUUUGAAAAAAUCAGAGUGUUUCAAGCAGGCAUUUCGCUUUUGCAUGGAUUAGCAUGGGAUAAUAAAAUAGGACUUUGGUGCUAUUUUGUUGGUUUCGAACACCGAAGUAAUGAUUAACAGGGACAGUCAGGGGCACUCGUAUUCCGCCGAGAGAGGUGAAAUUCUUAGACCAGCGGAAGACGAACAACUGCGAAAGCAUUUGCCAGGGAUGUUUUCACUGAUCAAGAACGAAAGUA
This 400-nucleotide ribosomal RNA is filed under the name phytoplankton environmental sample. RNAcentral describes it as "partial small subunit ribosomal RNA". It matches the Rfam family "Eukaryotic small subunit ribosomal RNA", at positions 587 to 991 of the family's 1831-position model. The record is from RNAcentral.